AAAAAAACUGAAAUCAUAAUCAAAUUAGUAAAGUUUAUUAUUUUAAACUUUCUGUUGAACAAUGAAAAAAUGAUACCAUGAUCUUAGAGCAAAUAAACAGUACGUCACAUUAACAACCACAUUUCUAGUUUUUUUUAAAUUUCACUUUUCAAUUCUGGGAAUGACAGAAAAAAAAAAUUAAAUUGUAACAUGAUGAAAUUAUUUAUUUAGACUUUCAUGAGUAAGGCAACAACUCUAAAUAUUGUUACGGAAAAAUGAAAUACUCUGACUCACAUCAGACAGUCUUGAAAUGCAAGCAUUUUAUUAUCAAAGUUGUAAGAAAAGCAGUUAUACACGUGGUGAUAAGAACUAUAGUAUUCUGAGAUUUAUGUCCAUACUUUGAAAAACCAAGAUUGUAAUAAAGCACCAAAUUCACUGUCUGUUUGGAAAAGUGUGGAUGGUUUGACAUUUUUUUCAGUUACUUGUUAUCUGGUAUGUAAAUCUCAAGUAAACUCCAAAGCUCACAAUAAGUCAUCUAUAAAAAUAAAUGUACAUUUUUUAAAGACUACCAGCAUACAAUUAAUAUUCAUUAUAGCCCAUGCUUACCAUUCAAUACAUUAACUGGAUAAGGAUAUAAGCGGCAUCAUUCUAAUGGUUGUUACUGUAGUUUUAUGAAGCAAUGUAGCUGUAGAACUUUGAAUGCUUUUUGGAUACAAUCAUAGGUAGGCAACUGGUGUUAAUCCAGCAUUUGAUGAACUGAAAUUGGCACAAUUUCGGAGAUUAGGUUAACCACUAGGCACAACCAAAAAAAGGUUGCAGGGUUUAUAAUCGUGACAAGUGCCAAGGGCUUGGAAACUUUUUUUAUACCCAGUGAUCCAGCAGACAAACUGAAGUUCUGCGCCUUUACCGGUUACUGUACUUGUGUUAUUUAAGAGUUCGGAGUUCUUGCUCUGCCAAGAACUGCCGAAAAAACUACAGAGCAUACCCUUUUAUGAAGGAAGAGUAUGUGAAAGAGGAAAGGGUAGAUAUGCCACUGGUGGAGGGAGAUUACUUACCUAUUCAUGCACGUUCCUAACACCAUAGAGAAAAAGUUACACAUUGUAUUUUUACAUAUUUAAAGACACACUCAAAGCUCCAUAACCACUACAGAGCACCAGAAGUGGCCCCAUUAUACAGAGUUGAACUGUUUUAGAACAGCUUGUCUUCUUAACUGGGGUACGCCAGGUGUCGCUCAAUGCCAGAAGCUCCGAGACCCAGCUAAGAAAUCAAACCUUCUAAAAUGUUGGGUUAAAUUCUGCAGCUAUCACUAGGGAUGCCCGGCAGGGACCAAGGUAAGACGAUAAACCAAAGCAAGGUUUGCAAUAACCAAUGAUCAGACAACGUGGACAUGAACGUACAGUUUUGACUCAUCAGUACCGUCCUGGCUCUGGUCUAAGAGUGGCCACCAUAUAGCUAAAUGUAAAUUUGUGAGAACAAAACACAACAGUGCAGAGUUUUAUCACAUUUUGCUCUCCGCACAACUAUUUUAGAUCUUGCAACUCAAAAGAGAUCCCCAGAACAGUAAAUAUGACAUACUCCUACAAAGAAACCCCUUGUUCCCACCCUCCACCAUGCUGCCAUAUUUUGAUAACAAAAUACAGAGCAACUUGUUACAUGGGUGUUUUAAUUUCUGAGUUCAUCAAAAGUUGGAGAGCAGUAGGUUGUCUACCUAUGAUUUGCAUCAUAAAAGCAGAACAUUAGAGGUGUACCCAUUGCAGUUAAUUCAGCAUCACAAGCUGGAAUCUUUGGCAACAAAUUGCCAAGAUGCCGAGCUUUGAAGAGGUGGUAAUUCCUUAAUAUGACAAUAUUCAAGAAAUCCACUCCAAGCUCCUUGCAAAAACAAGGAACUACCAAUAUUGAAAACACAUCACAAAAAUCACGUCCAAUAGUAAAACACAGAAAGUUGUGAGUUAAACGAUCCAGUAUUAUAGUGCUGUUAAGUAUGAAAUAUUCUAUUCAAUGUUGCUCAAAUACAAACAGGUUUACCCUAUCGACACCAAACUCUUAAAGGUUACCUCCAUGCAUCGGUACAAGGCAUACAUCACAACAACAAACAAAACUAUUAAUUGGUUUCAUCAUUUGACAAAACAUUUAAUCUUUCAUUCUUUUAUUAUACAUCAUACUUUGGAUAGUGCUAAAUGAGCUGAAGCAUCAUAGUCUGACAAUCGUAUCAUUAUUAUUAUUUUUUUCUGAUACAUAAAAAGUACAGCAUGAAAGAAAAAACAUUUUCCAAGUAAAUUUGCCACUGUGGAUCCGACUCCAGCUAAUUCCAUAUCUGUUCACAUAUUAUCUGUGGGUAAAAAAUUGCAUUUUAUGUUCCUUAAUUUAUUGAUAAACAAGAAAGAAAUAGCAGCAUGCUAUUUAAUAGAAUGACAUUUUCAGAAAGGACGUAUAUUUUUAUAUAUUUUUUUCAUUUUCAUUGUGGAUUCAAUCCAAACCCACAGCAUAUUAUUCGCCUGAACUAGUGCUCUGUACAAUGAGUUUGUAACAGUGCAUUACAAAGGACCAUAGACAUGUGUCUUAGGAGUGAGACCAACAUAGAGCAUUAUAAAGGACCAUAGACAUGUGUCUAAGGAGUGAGGCCAACAUAGAGCAUUACAAAGGACCAGAUACAUGUGUCUUAGGAGUGAGGCCAACAUAGAGCAUUACAGUGGACCAUAGACAUGUGUCUUAGGAGAGAGACCAACAUAAAGCAUUACAAUGGACCAUAGACAUGUGUCUUAGCAGUGAGGCCAACAUAGAGCAUUACAAAGGACCAUAGACAUGUGUCUUAGGAGUAAGACCAACAUAGAGCAGUACAAUGGACCAUAGACGUGUCUUAGGAGUAAGACCAACAUAGAGCAUUACAAAGGACCAUAGACAUGUGUCUUAGGAGUGAGGCCAACAUAGAGCAUUACAAAGGACCAUAGACAUGUGUCUUAGGAGUGAGACCAACAUAGAGCAUUACAAUGGACCAUAGACAUGUGUCUUAGGAGUGAGACCAACAUAGAGCAUUACAAUGGACCAUAGACAUGUGUCUUAGGAGUGAGGCCAACAUAGAGCAUUACAAAGGACCAUAGACAUGUGUCUUAGGAGUAAGACCAACAUAGAGCAGUACAAAGGACCAUAGACAUGUGUCUUAGGAGUGAGACCAACAUAGAGCAUUACAAUGGACCAUAGACAUGUGUCUUAGGAGUGAGACCAACAUAGAGCAUUACAAAGGACCAUAGACAUGUGUCUUAGGAGUGAGACCAACAUAGAGCAUUACAAAGGACCAUAGACAUGUGUCUUAGGAGUAAGACCAACAUAGAGCAUUACAAAGGACCAUAGACGCGUGUCUUAGGAGUAAGACCAACAUAGAGCAUUACAAAGGACCAUAGACGCGUGUCUUAGGAGUAAGACCAACAUAGAGCAUUACAAAGGACCAUAGGCGUGUGUCUUAGGAGUGAGACCAACAUAGA
Molecule: long non-coding RNA, 3458 nt
Filed under: Pelobates cultripes (western spadefoot toad)
Lineage: Eukaryota; Metazoa; Chordata; Amphibia; Anura; Pelobatidae
Source: RNAcentral